RNAcentral lists this ribosomal RNA (463 nucleotides) under uncultured bacterium. RNAcentral's name for it is "bacterial SSU rRNA". It matches the Rfam family "Bacterial small subunit ribosomal RNA", at positions 52 to 507 of the family's 1533-position model. The record is from RNAcentral.
CACAUGACAAGUACGAACGGCAGCGGCGGGACACCGUGGCGGCGAGUGGCGAACGGGUGAGUAAUAUAGUACGGAACGUACCAGAAGGUGGGGAUAACGUAGACGAAAGUUACGCUAAUACCGCAUACGAUCUACGGAUGAAAGUGGGGGACCUUCGGGCCUCAUGCUUUUGGAGCGGCCGAUAUCUGAUUAGCUAGUUGGUGAGGUAAAGGCUCACCAAGGCGACGAUCAGUAGCUGGUCUGAGAGGACGACCAGCCACACUGGGACUGAGACACGGCCCAGACUCCUACGGGAGGCAGCAGUGGGGAAUUUUGGACAAUGGGGGCAACCCUGAUCCAGCAAUGCCGCGUGAGUGAAGAAGGCCUUCGGGUUGUAAAGCUCUUUUGUCAGGGAAGAAACGGUUCUAGCUAAUAUCUGGAGCUAAUGACGGUACCUGAAGAAUAAGCACCGGCUAACUACGUG